CACUCCGCGGGAGGCAGCAGUGGGGAAUUUUGGACAAUGGGCGAAAGCCUGAUCCAGCAAUGCCGCGUGAGUGAAGAAGGCCUUCGGGUUGUAAAGCUCUUUUGUCAGGGAAGAAACGGUGAGAGCUAAUAUCUUUUGCUAAUGACGGUACCUGAAGAAUAAGCACCGGCUAACUACGUGCCAGCAGCCGCGGUAAUACGUAGGGUGCAAGCGUUAAUCGGAAUUACUGGGCGUAAAGCGUGCGCAGGCGGUUUUGUAAGUCUGAUGUGAAAUCCCCGGGCUCAACCUGGGAAUUGCAUUGGAGACUGCAAGGCUAGAAUCUGGCAGAGGGGGGUAGAAUUCCACGUGUAGCAGUGAAAUGCGUAGAUAUGUGGAGGAACACCGAUGGCGAAGGCAGCCCCCUGGGUCAAGAUUGACGCUCAUGCACGAAAGCGUGGGGAGCAAACAGGAUUAGAAACCCUAGUAGUCCCAUG
RNAcentral lists this ribosomal RNA (473 nucleotides) under uncultured organism. Its description in RNAcentral is "partial 16S ribosomal RNA". It matches the Rfam family "Bacterial small subunit ribosomal RNA", at positions 334 to 799 of the family's 1533-position model. The record is from RNAcentral.